UAUCAAAAACACGCCUCUUGAAUACUCAUAAGAGGUCCAGCCUGCCCAGUGACCAUGUUCAACGGCCGCGGUAUCCUAACCGUGCGAAGGUAGCGUAAUCACUUGUUCUUUAAAUGAGGACUAGUAUGAAUGGCACCACGAAGGUUAUACUGUCUCCUUUUUCUAAUCAAUGAAACUAAUCUCCCCGUGAAGAAGCGGGGAUAAACCUAUAAGACGAGAAGACCCUAUGGAGCUUUAAACAACAUAGCACUUGCCCUACAACAUAAAAUUUCCUGAACACUUAAAUUUUACCGGUAUAUUGACUAUAAGUUUUUGGUUGGGGUGACCGAGGAGCAUAAUACAACCUCCAUGUUGAAAGAUACUUAUUCUUAGCUAAGACCUACCAGUCUAAGCAUCAAUAUAUUGACAUCCAUUGACCCAAUAAAAUUGAACAACGAACCAAGUUACCCUAGGGAUAACAGCGCAAUCCACUUCAAGAGCUCCUAUCGACAAGUGGGUUUACGACCUCGAUGUUGGAUCAGGGUAUCCCAGUGGUGCAGCCGCUACUAAAGGUUCGUUUGUUCAACGAUUAAAACCCUAC
Molecule: ribosomal RNA, 580 nt
Filed under: Incilius valliceps (Southern Gulf Coast toad)
Lineage: Eukaryota; Metazoa; Chordata; Amphibia; Anura; Bufonidae
Description: partial 16S ribosomal RNA
Rfam family: Bacterial large subunit ribosomal RNA
Source: RNAcentral